AUUGAACGCUGGCGGCAGGCCUAACACAUGCAAGUCGAGCGGAUGAAGGGAGCUUGCUCCUGGAUUCAGCGGCGGACGGGUGAGUAAUGCCUAGGAAUCUGCCUGGUAGUGGGGGAUAACGUCCGGAAACGGGCGCUAAUACCGCAUACGUCCUGAGGGAGAAAGUGGGGGAUCUUCGGACCUCACGCUAUCAGAUGAGCCUAGGUCGGAUUAGCUAGUUGGUGGGGUAAAGGCCUACCAAGGCGACGAUCCGUAACUGGGCUGAGAGGAUGAUCAGUCACACUGGAACUGAGAGACGGUCCAGACUCCGACGGGAGGCAGCAGUGGGGAAUAUUGGAAAAUGGGCGAAAGCCUGAUCCAGCCAGGCCGCGUGGGUGAAGAAGGUCUGCGGAUUGUAAAGCACUUUAAGUUGGGAGGAAGGGCAGUAAGUUAAUACCUGGCUGUUUUGACGUUACCAACAGAAUAAGCACCGGCGAACUUCGU
Molecule: ribosomal RNA, 483 nt
Filed under: uncultured bacterium
Lineage: Bacteria
Description: partial 16S ribosomal RNA
Rfam family: Bacterial small subunit ribosomal RNA
Source: RNAcentral